GACGAACGCUGGCGGCGUGCUUAACACAUGCAAGUCGAACGGAAAGGCCCUGCUUUUGUGGGGUGCUCGAGUGGCGAACGGGUGAGUAACACGUGAGUAACCUGCCCUUGACUUUGGGAUAACUUCAGGCAACUGGGGCUAAUACCGGAUAGGAGCUCCUGCUGCAUGGUGGGGGUUGGAAAGUUUCGGCGGUUGGGGAUGGACUCGCGGCUUAUCAGCUUGUUGGUGGGGUAGUGGCUUACCAAGGCUUUGACGGGUAGCCGGCCUGAGAGGGUGACCGGCCACAUUGGGACUGAGAUACGGCCCAGACUCCUACGGGAGGCAGCAGUGGGGAAUAGUGCACAAUGGGCGGAAGCCUGAUGCAGCAACGCCGCGUGCGGGAUGACGGCCUUCGGGUUGUAAACCGCUUUCGCCUGUGACGAAGCGUGAGUGACGGUAAUGGGUAAAGAAGCACCGGCUAACUACGUG
This 468-nucleotide ribosomal RNA is filed under the name uncultured bacterium. Its description in RNAcentral is "partial 16S ribosomal RNA". It matches the Rfam family "Bacterial small subunit ribosomal RNA", at positions 28 to 507 of the family's 1533-position model. The record is from RNAcentral.